GUCCACGCCGUAACGAUGAUCACUCGCUGUUGGCGAUACACAGUCAGCGGCUAAGCGAAGCAUUAAGUGAUCCACCUGGGAGUACGGUCGCAAGACUGAACUCAAGGAAUUGACGGGGCCCGCACAAGCGGAGGAACAUGUGGUUUAAUUCGAUGAUACGCGAGGAACCUUACCUGGGCUUAAAUGUAGAUUGCAUUCAUGGGAAACCAUGAUUUUCUUCGGAACUAUUUGCAAGGUGCUGCAUGGUUGUCGU
RNAcentral lists this ribosomal RNA (253 nucleotides) under uncultured bacterium. Its description in RNAcentral is "partial 16S ribosomal RNA". It matches the Rfam family "Bacterial small subunit ribosomal RNA", at positions 793 to 1055 of the family's 1533-position model. The record is from RNAcentral.